RNAcentral lists this long non-coding RNA (453 nucleotides) under Chlamydomonas reinhardtii. RNAcentral describes it as "long non-coding RNA (CREI_LNC000901)". Lineage: Eukaryota; Viridiplantae; Chlorophyta; Chlorophyceae; Chlamydomonadales; Chlamydomonadaceae. The record is from RNAcentral.
GGUUGCGCAAAGGACGACCACAAGAGUUGUUUCGAUCGCCGAGUAAAGCAAGCGGUGGCCAACAAGCACCUACGCUUCAAGAGUUUUUUUUACAAUUGCAAGUAUUACUGCAUGGGUUUGAAGAUUGUGGCCCGAAAUCCUGUGCAUCGGCUGCGGAUUGUGUAUCCCCCUCCGGCCCCCACGCUUGCACGCCGAGGCCUUUUAUAUUCCACUUUCGUUAUACCAUCUGCCAUUCAGCCGUCGCUCGCUCACGUCAACAUUUCGGCCAUACAGUCGACGCGUUCGAUGCGGAUCCUUCAGGGCCGCGCAGCAACACAGGCUCUCUACCCUGGACCAUUUGCAGAAGCUUCAACAGCCGGCCCGCAUCGAAACUCCUUGGCUGCAUGCGGGCUCUUCUCCUACCUUCUACUACCUGCCGCACACAGAGCCACCACCGAACGCCCCCUUGCCGGC